UAGGAAUUUAUGUUGGAAGCGAACUUUCAAGAUUCUCAAGAAGGUUCACAGGACUGGAAUGUUGGAAAUUUUAAUAAUAUCUGUAAGGCGGCUCCGGUUAAAAUUAUCGAAAUGAAAGGCGGCAAAAACAAUACCGCAGUCUGCAGUACGACAGAUAU
This is a long non-coding RNA of Eurytemora carolleeae, 158 nucleotides long. RefSeq lists it as uncharacterized. The record is from RefSeq and is a predicted model, not a curated record. Lineage: Eukaryota; Metazoa; Arthropoda; Copepoda; Calanoida; Temoridae. The transcript has 2 exons.